Aegilops tauschii subsp. strangulata is the source of this 1216-nucleotide long non-coding RNA. RefSeq lists it as uncharacterized. The record is from RefSeq and is a predicted model, not a curated record. Lineage: Eukaryota; Viridiplantae; Streptophyta; Magnoliopsida; Poales; Poaceae.
UCGAGGGAAUUCACAUGGUGUUUUCUCUUUAUAACAUAUCCUCCCAAUAUUAUUAGGGAGCUAUAAAAAAAUAUUCCAUUCUUUAGGAAUAAACCAUAACACAUUUACAGGUUAAGUUUCAUGCCUUUUCCUCCUCAAUUCCCGGCCUCCAUCCUUGCUAUAAAUUCUUUUGUCACCUUCCCAAGCUCCUCCAUUAAUGUUCAACUUAUCCCUAUAAAUCCUAAAUGAUGCCUACACACUCUCUGCCGAAUUACAGAUCCUUUGGAAUUGUUUUGGUUGGGUUCAAAAAUGGCUUAAAUUUGAAUUUAAUUCAAACUUGAAUUAUUUUUUAUAUCCUUAAAAAUGUCCAAACCAUUUUAUUCAAAUUUUGCCUAAAUCCAGGAUCUUAUAAAUAUUUCCGUCUCAGCCUACUUCCUUCCUGAUCUCCCUGUGCAUUUCUGCUCUUGUUAUUCUGCCUGAAGAAUUAAGUAAAAGAAAUGAGGAGAGAAAGGAAGAGCAGCCCAGCAGCAGACCCCGCAGCCCACAUGUUUCUCUCCCCAGCCGGCCCAGCCCAGUGCCUCAAACGGCCACCUGCUCCAUUUCCCCUCCGUCUCCCUCGCUUCAGACACAGGGAGCUCGCGCCGUCGCGCCGUGAGCUCACGGACGUUGAGGCCAGCACGUCCCCCGCCCCUAGAAAGCCCCGCAGCGAUCCCUAGGGUUUUCCUCCGUCCUCCUCGCGCCGCCAUCUCCCUCUUCCUCCCCUGCUUCCUCUGCUUCGCGGAUAGCAAGUCCACCUCGCCUCGUCAUCCGGCAACCGGCGCUGCCACCGGCGACCAGCAGAUGAGCGCCGUGCCCUUCCCUUCUUCCCUUUUCCCUCGGGAGCCAUGGUCGUUCGAAGCUUCAACUGCUGCCCGCCUCGUCAACAUCCGACGUCGCCGCCCUGGCCUCGGAUCCGUCGGGUCCCGUCCUCCCCGACGUUGCCGGACCUCCUCAACUCGCCGGAGUCCCAAGGCCCUGCGCCAAGUCCCGUCUCGCCGCUGCCUUCACUAGGUCGCCUCCACUACGUCGCCGUCUUCUUCCCCUGCUUCCUCUUCUUCACGGAGCCGAACGCCGCCAUGAUCAGCGCCUCCUCGCGCCGAUGACGUUGUGCUUCCGGCCUCUUCGUCUUGUCCUAUGGGACCCCGUUGCAGGUGCCGAUGAGACCAGUGCAGGUGACGCUACUGAGCUCAAGUGGGAG